CAGUAGCCACGGUAAUACGUAGGUGGCAAGCGUUGUCCGGAAUUAUUGGGCGUAAAGCGCGCGCAGGUGGUUUAAUAAGUCUGAUGUGAAAGCCCACGGCUCAACCGUGGAGGGUCAUUGGAAACUGUUAAACUUGAGUGCAGAAGAGGAGAGUGGAAUUCCACGUGUAGCGGUGAAAUGCGUAGAGAUGUGGAGGAACACCAGUGGCGAAGGCGAUUCUCUGGUCUGUAACUGACGCUGAGGAGCGAAAGCGUGGGGAGCGAACAGGAUUAGAUACCCGAGUAGUCCCUGUCUCUUAUAA
RNAcentral lists this ribosomal RNA (301 nucleotides) under uncultured bacterium. RNAcentral's name for it is "partial 16S ribosomal RNA". It matches the Rfam family "Bacterial small subunit ribosomal RNA", at positions 509 to 809 of the family's 1533-position model. The record is from RNAcentral.